RNAcentral lists this long non-coding RNA (281 nucleotides) under Homarus americanus (American lobster). RNAcentral's name for it is "uncharacterized LOC121860107, transcript variant X1". Lineage: Eukaryota; Metazoa; Arthropoda; Malacostraca; Decapoda; Nephropidae. The record is from RNAcentral.
UGCGUACUUUGCAGUUUCCUUUUCAAAAUCUAAUCGUGUACUGUACUGACUUUCUCCUCAGGUUAAGCUGGCCAGAAGUAACAUCAUACUGAACCUAAGGAGAAAUAACUUAAAAUGCCAGAACAGGUGACAGCUGACGUACGUGAAUGCCAAUGUAGAGGAAGUGACCGACACCUUGAGCAAGAUGUAACACCCAGCAUGUUACUUAAGCCUUCUUAGGUGGUUGGUGUACAAGAUAGAUGGACCAGACACAACAAGGUGACCACGACUGUCUAGCAUCC